CCAAUUUUAAAACUAUCUAUUGCUUAGUUCUGUACUUUCGCUUCCCACCUCCAACCCAACACACACGCACUGAUUUCUUCAUUCUUGGAUUGGAUUCCGUGACCGCCGUUGGCGGUUCCCACCUCACUUUCCUAGAAUAUUACACCCUUUCUUGGGUUCAUGGAAACAGGCAACAACGCCAAUAAGUUGCAGAAGAAGCACAAAUGGUUCCUUUUGUUAAUCUUUUCUCUCUUAUUCUCUACUCUUUUGAUUCUUAUUACGAUUACUUCUUCAUCCACUUCUACCCAGUUUCUCUUUCGCCGCCAGCGUGGGAACACUAAUCAUCUCCGCCCUCGGUUUCCGCUUUUUGUGGAAUCUAAGUUGCCUAAGCCUGUGGUUUCAGAAAGAACAAUACCUCGUCUCGCGUAUUUGAUAUCUGGGUCUGCAGGGGAUGGAGUGAGCAUGAAGAGAACGCUGAAAGUGUUGUAUC
This 469-nucleotide unclassified non-coding RNA is filed under the name Hevea brasiliensis (rubber tree). Lineage: Eukaryota; Viridiplantae; Streptophyta; Magnoliopsida; Malpighiales; Euphorbiaceae. The record is from RNAcentral.